UAAUAACUUGAGUUUUACUUCUUUGGGUUAGAUAUUUUCAUAACAUAUUCGGUUACCAGUGAACUAUAUUCACAAAACUUUUUGGAUGUCUGAUUAGAAAAAUAGGUAUUAAAAUAAUUUAGUUAGGAGAUAUCUUUGUUCUAGAUGAAUUUUCUAGUGUUGGACGAUUAAGAAAGGCAAUGCGAAUUUUCAUUUCCAUGAUUUCAAUAGUGCCGAGAAACCUGAGCAGAAGAAAGUAUAUGAGAUUAAAUUUCUGACAUAACUGAAGUUGUACAUGCAUUACUGGACUUGCAAUCUUCAAGAGAUGAUACGUUGGGAACAUUUUGAAUGAAAAGUAGUGAUUUGACUUGGAAUUUUGCAAGCAGUUGAAAGUGAUCAAUAAUUAAACCGUUCGACAAGAAUUUCAAAUUUCGUUAAUGAAAUUACAACUGUAGAAUUAAUUUUCAGGCAGUCUCGUUGAGUUGGUUGUAAUUGCUGGAAAAUAAUUUCUGUGUUGGCAUUUCGAACUGCAUAAUAUGUUUUCAUCCAAAUAAAUUAUCUCAAAUAAUUACAUUAAUUUAUUUCCACAAAUUACAUAAUUCAUGUGAGUGUGAUGAUAGAAUGAAAUCUGCUGGUUAUAAGUUCUUGUAAAAUAUUCAUCAAACGACACCAACAUGUUCAGGAAAGUUCUGGAGGAACCCGAGCACAAUCAAUGAUCCCAUAAUUAUUCACUACCUUCACAAAUAUCUCUAUAUUCGAAUAAAAUCUUCGAUAACAUUGCUUUCACAAUAGAGUUUUCACGAUGAUUACUCAUUUUCCGCCAUGUUUGUUGACAAGUCGCAGCGCCCUCAUCGGUAGUUGGAUUCGCCUAUAAU
Molecule: long non-coding RNA, 854 nt
Organism: Coccinella septempunctata (seven-spotted ladybird)
Lineage: Eukaryota; Metazoa; Arthropoda; Insecta; Coleoptera; Coccinellidae
Exons: 2
Source: RefSeq, a predicted model, not a curated record